UCAUAUGUAGCAGAGGCUCGAGGAAGCCC
This 29-nucleotide non-coding RNA is filed under the name Bombyx mori (domestic silkworm). The record is from RNAcentral. Lineage: Eukaryota; Metazoa; Arthropoda; Insecta; Lepidoptera; Bombycidae.